Molecule: ribosomal RNA, 428 nt
Filed under: uncultured bacterium
Lineage: Bacteria
Description: bacterial SSU rRNA
Rfam family: Bacterial small subunit ribosomal RNA
Source: RNAcentral
CGAGGAAUCUUGCGCAAUGGGGGAAACCCUGACGCAGCAACGCCGCGUGAGUGAGGAAGGCCUUCGGGUCGUAAAGCUCUGUCAGAUGGGAAGAAAUGGGUGGGGGCUAAUAUCGUCCAUCCUUGACGGUACCAUCAGAGGAAGCACCGGCUAACUCCGUGCCAGCAGCCGCGGUAAUACGGGGGGUGCAAGCGUUGUUCGGAAUCAUUGGGCGUAAAGCGCGCGCAGGCGGCUUGGUAAGUCAGAUGUGAAAUCCCUGGGCUUAACCCAGGAAGUGCAUUUGAUACUGCCUCGCUAGAGUACGGGAGAGGAAAGUGGAAUUCCUGGUGUAGAGGUGAAAUUCGUAGAUAUCAGGAGGAACACCGGUGGCGAAGGCGACUUUCUGGCCCGAUACUGACGCUCAGGCGCGAAAGCGUGGGGAGCAAACA